UCCCUCAACUAAUCAAGAAGAAUAAUAAAUAAAAAGUGAUUAUAACUAACUCCCAACAACUUGAGAGGAAGAAGAUGAGAGCACCAACAAUUUGGCACCAACUCUUUGACACCAAGGAGAGAUGCCGCCCACCUCUCUUCUAGCUCCAAGGGAGACACCUAGAGAGAGAGGGUGUGGGCUAAAAAGAGAGAAGAGGAGAGGAGGCAUGGGCAUAGUAUAGGUGGCAGCAAGGAUGGG
This 237-nucleotide long non-coding RNA is filed under the name Elaeis guineensis (African oil palm). RNAcentral describes it as "long non-coding RNA (EGUI_LNC034683)". Lineage: Eukaryota; Viridiplantae; Streptophyta; Magnoliopsida; Arecales; Arecaceae. The record is from RNAcentral.